GUUGUUGGGGUUUACAAUUUCAUCUUAUCCACUCUCAUAUAUCUACUCUUCUUAUUUACUCACUUAUUUAUCUAAUUGCCAUGCAAACUUUCUAGUAUACCCUUAACCCAAUCCCUUGGUGAAAAGAGCCCAUUAUUAAUUACCGGCUUGCUAUCCCUAGCCUCCCCUAGUAACCAAUAAUGCAAUGCGUUCGGAAGCAAAUACA
Molecule: long non-coding RNA, 205 nt
Filed under: Vigna radiata
Lineage: Eukaryota; Viridiplantae; Streptophyta; Magnoliopsida; Fabales; Fabaceae
Description: long non-coding RNA (VRAD_LNC009282)
Source: RNAcentral